UACGGAGGGUGCAAACGUUGCUCGGAAUUAUUGGGCGUAAAGCGCGCGUAGGCGGUCCGGCAAGUCGGGUGUGAAAGCCCUCGGCUUAACCGAGGAAGUGCAUUCGAAACUACCGGACUCGAGUACUGAAGAGGAUGACGGAAUUCCCGGUGUAGAGGUGAAAUUCGUAGAUAUCGGGAGGAACACCAGUGGCGAAGGCGGUCAUCUGGGCAGAUACUGACGCUGAGGCGCGAAAGCGUGGGGAGCAAAC
RNAcentral lists this ribosomal RNA (250 nucleotides) under uncultured bacterium. RNAcentral describes it as "partial 16S ribosomal RNA". It matches the Rfam family "Bacterial small subunit ribosomal RNA", at positions 524 to 773 of the family's 1533-position model. The record is from RNAcentral.